AGUGAACGCUGGCGGUAGGCCUAACACAUGCAAGUCGAACGGCAGCACAGUAAGAGCUUGCUCUUACGGGUGGCGAGUGGCGGACGGGUGAGGAAUACAUCGGAAUCUACUUUUUCGUGGGGGAUAACGUAGGGAAACUUACGCUAAUACCGCAUACGACCUACGGGUGAAAGCAGGGGAUCUUCGGACCUUGCGCGAUUGAAUGAGCCGAUGUCGGAUUAGCUAGUUGGCGGGGUAAAGGCCCACCAAGGCGACGAUCCGUAGCUGGUCUGAGAGGAUGAUAAGCCACACUGGAACUGAGACACGGGCCAGACUCCUACGGGAGGAAGCAGUGGGGAAUAUUGGACAAUGGGCGCAAGCCUGAUCCAGCCAUACCGCGUGGGUGAAGAAGGCCUUCGGGUUGUAAAGCCCUUUUGUUGGGAAAGAAAAGCAGCAGGUUAAUACCCCGCUGUUCUGACGGUACCCAAAGAAUAAGCACCGGCUAACUUCGUG
RNAcentral lists this ribosomal RNA (492 nucleotides) under uncultured bacterium. Its description in RNAcentral is "partial 16S ribosomal RNA". It matches the Rfam family "Bacterial small subunit ribosomal RNA", at positions 29 to 507 of the family's 1533-position model. The record is from RNAcentral.